Molecule: ribosomal RNA, 1421 nt
Filed under: uncultured beta proteobacterium
Lineage: Bacteria; Pseudomonadati; Pseudomonadota; Betaproteobacteria
Description: bacterial SSU rRNA
Rfam family: Bacterial small subunit ribosomal RNA
Source: RNAcentral
GGCGGCAUGCUUUACACAUGCAAGUCGAACGGUAACAGGCCUUCGGGCGCUGACGAGUGGCGAACGGGUGAGUAAUGCAUCGGAACGUGCCCAAUCGUGGGGGAUAACGUAGCGAAAGUUACGCUAAUACCGCAUACGCCCUGUAGGGGGAAAGUGGGGGACCGCAAGGCCUCACGCGAAUGGAGCGGCCGAUGUCAGAUUAGCUAGUUGGUGGGGUAAAGGCUCACCAAGGCGACGAUCUGUAGCGGGUCUGAGAGGAUGAUCCGCCACACUGGGACUGAGACACGGCCCAGACUCCUACGGGAGGCAGCAGUGGGGAAUUUUGGACAAUGGGCGCAAGCCUGAUCCAGCCAUGCCGCGUGCGGGACGAAGGCCUUCGGGUUGUAAACCGCUUUCAGCCGGAAAGAAAUCGCCGUUUUUAAUACAGACGGUGGAUGACGGUACCGGAAGAAGAAGCACCGACUAACUACGUGCCAGCAGCCGCGGUAAUACGUAGGGUGCGAGCGUUAAUCGGAAUUACUGGGCGUAAAGCGUGCGCAGGCGGUUUUGUAAGCCAGACGUGAAAUCCCCGGGCUUAACCUGGGAACUGCGUUUGGAACUGCAAGACUAGAGUGUGUCAGAGGGAGGUGGAAUUCCACGUGUAGCAGUGAAAUGCGUAGAUAUGUGGAGGAACAUCGAUGGCGAAGGCAGCCUCCUGGGAUAACACUGACGCUCAUGCACGAAAGCGUGGGGAGCAAACAGGAUUAGAUACCCUGGUAGUCCACGCCCUAAACGAUGUCAACUGGUUGUUGGGAGAGAAAUCUUUCAGUAACGAAGCUAACGCGUGAAGUUGACCGCCUGGGGAGUACGGCCGCAAGGUUGAAACUCAAAGGAAUUGACGGGGGCCCGCACAAGCGGUGGAUGAUGUGGAUUAAUUCGAUGCAACGCGAAGAACCUUACCUGCUCUUGACAUGCCAGGAACCUUGGAGAGAUCUGAGGGUGCCCGAAAGGGAAUCUGGACACAGGUGCUGCAUGGCUGUCGCCAGCUCGUGUCGUGAGAUGUUGGGUUAAGUCCCGCAACGAGCGCAACCCUUAUCAUUAGUUGCUACGCAAGGGCACUCUAAUGAGACUGCCGGUGACAAACCGGAGGAAGGUGGGGAUGACGUCAAGUCCUCAUGGCCCUUAUGAGCAGGGCUUCACACGUCAUACAAUGGUCGGUACAGAGGGUUGCCAACCCGCGAGGGGGAGCCAAUCCCACAAAGCCGAUCGUAGUCCGGAUCGUAGUCUGCAACUCGACUACGUGAAGUCGGAAUCGCUAGUAAUCGCGGAUCAGCAUGUCGCGGUGAAUACGUUCCCGGGCCUUGUACACACCGCCCGUCACACCAUGGGAGUAGGUUGCUCCAGAAGUAGGUAGCCUAACCGCAAGGAGGCGCUACCACGGA